This is a long non-coding RNA of Lytechinus pictus (painted urchin), 239 nucleotides long. RefSeq lists it as uncharacterized. The transcript has 3 exons. The record is from RefSeq and is a predicted model, not a curated record. Lineage: Eukaryota; Metazoa; Echinodermata; Echinoidea; Temnopleuroida; Toxopneustidae.
UAUCAUCAAGUCACAGUAUACCAGCUGCAAGUGAUUCCGACAUGUUUGACAUCAGCGUUAGUUAUUAUGAAAAGGGGGACUUUGUCUACCCAACAGAGGAUGUUCUGGAUGAAGAAUCCGAUUCUGACUUUGAGGACCCCGAGCUUACAUUGCGGCUUCAAAUUGGAGAGGAUUGUAAAGGACUGACAGAGGUUGGGGAAGAGGAGCAUGAGAUGGGGGAGGAUAUUAGGCUGGAGGAC